This 253-nucleotide ribosomal RNA is filed under the name uncultured bacterium. RNAcentral describes it as "partial 16S ribosomal RNA". It matches the Rfam family "Bacterial small subunit ribosomal RNA", at positions 524 to 776 of the family's 1533-position model. The record is from RNAcentral.
UACGAAGGGGGCUAGCGUUGCUCGGAAUUACUGGGCGUAAAGGGCGCGUAGGCGGCACUGUUAGUCAGGCGUGAAAGUCCUGGGCUCAACCUGGGAACUGCGCUUGAUACGGCAGAGCUAGAGGAUGGAAGAGGCUCGCGGAAUUCCCAGCGUAGAGGUGAAAUUCGUAGAUAUUGGGAAGAACACCGGUGGCGAAGGCGGCGAGCUGGUCCAUUACUGACGCUGAGGCGCGACAGCGUGGGGAGCAAACAGG